UGGCUACCUGGUCGAUCCGCAGACCGCCGAUACCGUGAAGUCGGUGCUCCAGUCGACGGCGUCGAUCCCGGCCGUGGCCUCGGUGGUUAACGUGGAGGCGACGUCUUACGACGUGCUGAUUGACCAUACUGACAUUGGCGCUGGCUGGGCGACGGAGACCGACCCGAGCGCAGAGACCGGUACGCCCUCAAUCGACCGCAUCACUAUCCCGCUGCAUGAGCUGAGCGCGCUGCCCAAGGCCUCGCAGCGCCUCCUUGAUGACAGCGCCUUCGACAUCGAAGGUUGGCUUGCAGGCCGGAUCGCCGAUAAAUUCGCUCGGGCCGAGGCGGCUGCGUUCCUGAGCGGCGAUGGGGUGGACAAACCCACCGGCAUCCUCAGCCAUCCCACCGUGGACAACGACGUCUGGUCCUGGGGCAGCCUUGGCUAUGUGGCGACAGGCGUCGAUGGCGACAUCGGCAAUGGCGAUGCGAUCAUUGAUCUGGUCUAUGCGCUGGGGGCUCAGUAUCGGGCCGGGGCGUCUUUCGUGAUGAACUCCAAAACCGCAGGCGUGAUCCGCAAGCUGAAGGACGCCGAUGGCCGUUUCCUGUGGUCCGAUGGUCUUGCUGCUGGUGAGCCUGCGCGACUGAUGGGUUACCCGGUGCUGGUGGCAGAGGAUAUGCCGGAUGUCGCCUCAGGCAGCUACUCGGUGGCGUUUGGGGACUUUGCUGCCGGAUAUACCAUCGCAGAACGCCCCGAUCUGCGGGUGCUGCGCGAUCCCUUCAGUGCAAAACCGCACGUCCUGUUCUA
RNAcentral lists this ribosomal RNA (786 nucleotides) under uncultured Rhodobacterales bacterium. RNAcentral describes it as "partial 16S ribosomal RNA". Lineage: Bacteria; Pseudomonadati; Pseudomonadota; Alphaproteobacteria; Rhodobacterales. The record is from RNAcentral.